This is a long non-coding RNA of Diorhabda carinulata, 1012 nucleotides long. RefSeq lists it as uncharacterized. The record is from RefSeq and is a predicted model, not a curated record. The transcript has 2 exons. NCBI's taxonomy places the organism in Eukaryota, Metazoa, Arthropoda, Insecta, Coleoptera, Chrysomelidae.
AAUGAGUUGAUUGUAAUGAUUGUCGUUGUUUAGAAGCAUAUUAUCAGUACUUAUUAAUUUUUAUAAGAUAUAAUUUUAAUAAUCACUUUAAAGAGAGUCGUCUUUUCCUUUCGAUUGAAUUGAAUGGAAACUUGACAAUAAUUGGAAAAAAAUUACAACGUUGUAACGAUGUUGCACUGAAUUUAGAAGUUUUCAACAUUUUUUUAUAAAAAUGUUUUGUUGUUUGAAAUAAAAAAAUGCCGAUUAAACCUUGUAAAAGGUUUUUAACUGAGGUCAAUGUGAAAUAAACGUUCUCCUUUCAAACGGAACAUCCCUCUGUCAGACGGGUAUAGUUUACAGAUCUUCGCCGCCUAUCAUUCUAAGCGGAGUAUCAAUAAAUUCACCUCACAGUUUAAAUGUUUAAGAAAUAAUAAAAAUAUGACUAAAUCAGUAAUUUUAUGAUUAAUAAAGUGCUAAUUAACAAAAAAAGUGAGUUAGGGUAUCCCACUUGACGUUACCAUGUCAUUUGAGAAGCCGAUUAGGUGGUUUGGCUUAGUAAGAUGGGGUAAAUGAAGGCCAUAUAUGUCUGUGAGACGAAUGUUCCUCAUAACCUAAAAAAUCUUGUUUUGUCUAAAGGGUUGAUGUGGGUAAGUAUUAAUGUAACCCCUUAUAGAUUCUACUAUGAAAAAAAAACACGUGUGUCAUAAAAAAAUUUAAUUACAUUUAAAAUUUUCACAAAAGUGGAUAAUUCAACAUGACGUCUUGUCUUGCUAAUUCCAACAACAUAGGAUCAUCGAAGAACUUAUUGAUAGAGACAUCUUGACUGAGACCUUUACGUCUUCGAGUUUUUAUCAUAAAUUCUCUAGCUAGGUGAGUUGAAGGUUGGGGUUCGAGUGGUCUAAUUACGAUCGUUUUAUCCAAUGGAUCACCAGGAACAAUCUACAACAAACGAAAUCAACGGGCAACAAAUUUCAAUAAAAACUUUCAAAAUUUUGUUUUUUGUUAACUUUCAAUUAAAAUUUAAUGAAAUGAU